AGGAAUCUGCCUUCAACACUGGGAUAACUCCGGGAAACCGGGGCUAAUACCGGAUACGAGCCUUGAUCGCACGAUCGAGGCUGGAAAGUUUUUCGGUUGAAGAUGACCUCGCGGCCUAUCAGCUUGUUGGUGAGGUAAUGGCUCACCAAGGCGACGACGGGUAGCCGGCCUGAGAGGGCGACCGGCCAC
Molecule: ribosomal RNA, 189 nt
Filed under: uncultured Actinomycetes bacterium
Lineage: Bacteria; Bacillati; Actinomycetota; Actinomycetes
Description: uncultured actinobacterium partial 16S ribosomal RNA
Rfam family: Bacterial small subunit ribosomal RNA
Source: RNAcentral